GCAGCACAGAAACUACAUACUUCAGCUCUUUAACUGGAAUUACCGCAUUGUGGUCUGAACACGGUCCACAUUUUAUAAAGACACAUUGAUUCAGACAAUGCAUCAGUCAUCGAGAAGGCUUUAAGAAUGAUGUGGGCCACUGGGCAAACCCAGAAGCUUGCCUGCUGUGAUGAGCUAAGCAAGGGCUGUUUCCUACCAAUGGGCUGAGGGACUUCAUUUACUAACACUUACUGGAAUAGGGACAUCUGGUUUCCCAUCCACCUCCUGUCUGGGGGAGGAGAGACUUGGAUGCACCAAAGAAAAAAGGAGGCCACACUUCCUCUGUCUGGUUAUCCAGCCCAACUGGAAGGUCACUGCAGGAGAUAGGGG
Molecule: long non-coding RNA, 369 nt
Organism: Myxocyprinus asiaticus (Chinese sucker)
Lineage: Eukaryota; Metazoa; Chordata; Actinopteri; Cypriniformes; Catostomidae
Exons: 4
Source: RefSeq, a predicted model, not a curated record